RNAcentral lists this ribosomal RNA (253 nucleotides) under uncultured bacterium. RNAcentral describes it as "partial 16S ribosomal RNA". It matches the Rfam family "Bacterial small subunit ribosomal RNA", at positions 524 to 776 of the family's 1533-position model. The record is from RNAcentral.
UACGUAGGGACCGAGCGUUGUCCGGAAUCAUUGGGCGUAAAGAGCGUGUAGGCGGCCUUUUAAGUCCUGCGUGAAAUCCUGCGGCUCAACCGCAGACGGUCGUGGGAAACUGGAAGGCUAGAGUGCGGGAGAGGAGAGUGGAAUUCCCGGUGUAGCGGUGAAAUGCGCAGAUAUCGGGAAGAACACCCGUGGCGAAGGCGGCUCUCUGGAACGCAACUGACGCUGAGACGCGAAAGCCAGGGGAGCAAACGGG